RNAcentral lists this ribosomal RNA (253 nucleotides) under uncultured bacterium. Its description in RNAcentral is "partial 16S ribosomal RNA". It matches the Rfam family "Bacterial small subunit ribosomal RNA", at positions 524 to 776 of the family's 1533-position model. The record is from RNAcentral.
UACAGAGGGGGCAAGCGUUGUUCGGAAUUACUGGGCGUAAAGGGUGCGCAGGCGGAUAUGUAAGUCAGGGGUGAAAUCUUUGGGCUUAACCCGAAAAUUGCCAUUGAUACUAUAUAUCUUGAAUGCUGUGGAGGUAAGCGGAAUAUGUCAUGUAGCGGUGAAAUGCUUAGAUAUGACAUAGAACACCUAGUGCGAAGGCAGCUUACUACGCAGAGAUUGACGCUCAUGCACGAAAGCGUGGGGAUCAAACAGG